Dermacentor silvarum is the source of this 763-nucleotide long non-coding RNA. RefSeq lists it as uncharacterized. The transcript has 5 exons. The record is from RefSeq and is a predicted model, not a curated record. Lineage: Eukaryota; Metazoa; Arthropoda; Arachnida; Ixodida; Ixodidae.
CGGCCGACACUGUUCGAGCGCGAGGCUCAGUGCAACCUUGUUUUUGGAACGGCGUAAUGGCGUGCCCUUCGCUUAAGAUGUGAAAGCGACCAUACCGCUUAUUAGUGCAGCGUCGCUGAAGCACGAACAAUUGGAGCUUCGACGUAAUAUGAGAUAUAGUAUGGAGGCAACGACAACCGUUCCUUCGUUCAGCGGAAGUCUUGAAUCCGUGCGGUUUGUACAUGCGUCACGCUUUGUAUGUAGUACGUGAUAUGACUCUCCUCGUUGUCUUUUUGUGCUACCCACCCUCCAGUUGUAAAGUUGAGCGCGUGUUCGUUAUAUGGUGCUGUCUUCCCGGAUGACGCAGAAAUAUCUCUCGACAGUGUUUAUGUGCCCAAAAGGUGAAAGCCAACAAAGCAAACGAAUUACUUCAAUUCCACGUUGCGUUUACGAGGCAUAACCAUCAAACCAAGGGUGUCUUCAAUCUUCGAGCUCCAACCACUGCUCUCUGGAAGAGAGAGAAAGAGAUAGAAAUAGGAAGCGAAAGGCGGGGAAGUUCACCGGAAGGCAAACAACCAGUUUGCUAUCCUGUACUGGCGAAUUGGUAAGCCGAGCUGACCAGGCGGGUGACGAGAGGCGGCGUCACCACGAGGACGACCACCAAGGGCGGCAAGAAGACCAAGACAAAGAAGGAAGGCGAGCUGACCAUGAUGAGAACCGGAAACACUCAAAACAAGAAAGGUGGAAAAGGUAAAGGUGCGAAAGGCGGCAAACCAGCAGGUAC